GAUGAACGCUGGCGGCGUGCCUAAUACAUGCAAGUCGAGCGAACAGACGAGGAGCUUGCUCCUCUGACGUUAGCGGCGGACGGGUGAGUAACACGUGGAUAACCUACCUAUAAGACUGGGAUAACUUCGGGAAACCGGAGCUAAUACCGGAUAAUAUAUUGAACCGCAUGGUUCAAUAGUGAAAGACGGUUUUGCUGUCACUUAUAGAUGGAUCCGCGCCGCAUUAGCUAGUUGGUAAGGUAACGGCUUACCAAGGCAACGAUGCGUAGCCGACCUGAGAGGGUGAUCGGCCACACUGGAACUGAGCCACGGUCCAGACUCCUACGGGAGGCAGCAGUAGGGAAUCUUCCGCAAUGGGCGAAAGCCUGACGGAGCAGCGCCGCGUGAGUGAUGAAGGUCUUCGGAUCGUAAAACUCUGUUAUUAGGGAAGAACAAAUGUGUAAGUAACUAUGCACGUCUUGACGGUACCUAAUCAGAAAGCCACGGCUAACUACGUG
Molecule: ribosomal RNA, 497 nt
Filed under: uncultured bacterium
Lineage: Bacteria
Description: partial 16S ribosomal RNA
Rfam family: Bacterial small subunit ribosomal RNA
Source: RNAcentral